Molecule: ribosomal RNA, 465 nt
Filed under: uncultured bacterium
Lineage: Bacteria
Description: partial 16S ribosomal RNA
Rfam family: Bacterial small subunit ribosomal RNA
Source: RNAcentral
GACGAACGCUGGCGGCGUGCUUAACACAUGCAAGUCGAACGGAAAGGCCCUGCUUGCAGGGUACUCGAGUGGCGAACGGGUGAGUAACACGUGGGUGAUCUGCCCUGCACUUCGGGAUAAGCCUGGGCAACUGGGUCUAAUACCGGAUAGGAGCCAUUUUUAGUGUGAUGGUUGGAAAGUUUUUUCGGUGUAGGAUGAGCUCGCGGCCUAUCAGCUUGUUGGUGGGGUAAUGGCCUACCAAGGCGGCGACGGGUAGCCGGCCUGAGAGGGUGGACGGCCACAUUGGGACUGAGAGACGGCCCAGACUCCUACGGGAGGCAGCAGUGGGGAAUCUUGCACAAUGGGCGCAAGCCUGAUGCAGCGACGCCGCGUGGGGGAUGACGGCCUUCGGGUUGUAAACUCCUUUCGCUAGGGACGAAGCUUUUUGUGACGGUACCUAGAUAAGAAGCACCGGCUAACUACGUG